AUCGCUUCUCGGCCUUUUGGCUAAGAUCAAGUGUAGUAUCUGUUCUUAUCAGUUUAAUAUCUGAUGUCCUCUAUCCGAGGACAAUAUAUUAAAUGGAUUUUGGAGCAGGGAGAUGGAAUAGGAGCGCCGUCCACUCCACGCAUCGACCUGGUAUUGCAGUACCUCCAGGAACGGUGCACCCCUC
Molecule: small nuclear RNA, 184 nt
Filed under: Macaca fascicularis (crab-eating macaque)
Lineage: Eukaryota; Metazoa; Chordata; Mammalia; Primates; Cercopithecidae
Description: U2 spliceosomal RNA (ENSMFAG00000058309.1)
Rfam family: U2 spliceosomal RNA
About the family: U2 is a small nuclear RNA (snRNA) component of the spliceosome (involved in pre-mRNA splicing). Complementary binding between U2 snRNA (in an area lying towards the 5' end but 3' to hairpin I) and the branchpoint sequence (BPS) of the intron results the bulging out of an unpaired adenosine, on the BPS, which initiates a nucleophilic attack at the intronic 5' splice site, thus starting the first of two transesterification reactions that mediate splicing.
Source: Rfam by way of RNAcentral